ACCAUGUCAUACAAUUGAUUGGCUCAAACGCAUUAAGAAGGAAAGAAAUUCCACAAAUGAACUUUUAACAAGGUACACCUGUUAAUUGAAAUGCAUUCCAGGUGACUACCUCAUGAAGGUGUUUGAGAUAAUUCCAAGAGUGUGUCAGGCUGUCAUCAAGGCAAAAGGUACUGUAGCUACUUUGAAGAAUCUGAAAUAUAUUUUGAUUUAACACAUAUUUGGCUACUACAUGAUUCCAUGUGUUAUUUCAUAGUUUGAUGUCUUCACUAUUAUUCUACAAUGUAGAAAAUAGUAAAAAUAAAGAAAAACCCGUGAAUGAGUAGGUGAGUCCAAACUUUUGGCUGGUACUGUAUAUCACAUAGAUAGGCAGUCCUCUUUGUCAUAGAGAAUAAGAAAUCCCACUCUAUACGGUGCAUUUCGAUCUGCAAAGUUCUGAAACGUUUCACUCUUUUGAACAAUCUCCAGAUGCCACCAAGCACACUGUUUAUGGGAGUCUGAAGUACAGGAGCUCCUCUUUAACAAGUGGGAAUCAUGUCCUGAUGCUUUAGCCUGAUAAUGUGUAGUAUGAGGACUUCAUUAAUUCCUGAGGAAGCUGGUAAGUGUUUUCACAAAAGGGGACUAUUGAAGAUGUAACACCGCUGUAGUUUUAAGCCCCUGCUAACCCUCAGUUUUGUGUCCUUUGUUCUAACUGCUUGUGCUGAAAUAUUGCAAUAUUACGUCAUUUUAAAGUUGUAUUUAAGUGUCAUCCAGUGGACUACAUGGGUAGCUUCAUUUUCCAUCCAUUGCAAUAAUGUAAAUUGGUAUUCAUAAAGAACAUGUCGAUAUGAUGUCUGUAUCAUUGUACAUGACCUUAUGAAGAAUACAGAUUUUUCAUAGAAAUGUAUCUCCUGUGUUACCUUACUCUACAGUGCCUCUUGUUGUUAUACUGGCGCACAAUUGUAAGGAUACAAUUAUUCUCUGGCUGUGACAGACCAAUCAUGCCCUCUGCUGGCCUUGCCCUCUCCUGACAUCUUGAGUUCACACAGAACCAGGAAGUCACCGACAACAGAAUACAAGCCACUCCCUCCUACUCCUCAGAAAACUAAACGUAUCUCUGGUUCUCUUGCUAUGUUUGUUAGUGUGUGCAUCAAAAUGGCAGAGGCCAUGGACUCAAUCAGUUGUCUGAGCUGUCUGGGUCUACUGAAGGAUCCAGUGACUACUCCCUGUGGACACAGCUACUGUAUUGACUGUGUUAAGUUCUGCCCCCAGUGCAGACCUUUAUCCCAAGGCCUGUUCUAAAGAGAAACACUAUGUUUUCUGAGGUCACCAGAAACAGAAGAAGACAGGAGUCCAAGCUGCUCUCCCUUCUCUGUCCUUUGCUGGACCUGGAGAUUUGGAGAGCUGGGAGAAAAAUAAAAGCUGUGAUGUCCUGCCUGGUCUCUUAAUGUGAGACUCACCUCCAGCCUUACAAUGAAGUAGAUCCAUUAAAGAAGCACAAGCUAGUCAAAGCCUCCACACAACUACUGGAGGUUUUUAAUGGAUGAACAUAAAAGCCAUGAGACAGAUACAGCUACAGCAGAAAGGACUGAGAAACCGUGACCUCAUUUUAGAUUGAACACCUUGCUGAGCCCAAGACCAGAGAGGAGUUAAAACAAAAUACUCUUGCCAGCUGACAUUGGAUCCCAAUACAGCACACACUAGCCUGUGUCUGUUCGAUGGAGAACAGUAAUGUUGCCAGGAGAGAUUAGGCCCAGUCCUGUCCGAACCAUCCAGACGGAUAUCCCUCCUACCAACAGGUGCUGUGUAGAGACUGUCUCUCUGGAACUUGCUACUGGAAGGUAGAGUGGAGCGGGGAAGGGGUUCAUGUAGCUGUCUCGUAUAUAAACGGAUCAGCACAAAAGAAGAUAGUAAUGAGUGUGUGCUUGGGAGGUAAUGAUCGAUCCUGGAGGUUAUACAGCUCUUCAUUCAGCCGCUGUUUCAUCCACAGUAAUAACAGGACUGAUAUCCCUGUCCCCUGCUCCUCCAGAAUAGGGGUGUACCUGGACCAUGUGGCAGGAACAGUGUCCUUCUACAGCAUCUCUGACACAGUGACCCUCCUCCACAGAGUCCAGACCACAUUCACUAAGUCCUUCUAUCCUGGAUUCUUUGUUCGCGUUGGAAAUCCUGUGGAGAUACUGACACCUGCUCAGUGAUAAAGCUGUAGUCUGCUGGUACCAUUGUUGUGAGCUUUAGAGAAUGAUUUGGGAUUGCAGAUAUCAGAGUACAGUACUCAUAGAAAAAAAGGUGCUAUAUAGAACCUAAAAGGGUUCUUCGGCUGUCCCCAUAGGAGAACCCUUUGAAGAACCUUUUUGGGCUCCAUAUAGAAUCCUUUCCACAGAGGUUUCCACAACUCAAAAGGCUCCUACCUGGAACCAAAAAGGGUUAUCCUAUGGGGACACCCGAAUAACCCUUUUGGAACCCUUUUUUUCUACGAGUGCAUAAUAAAUGUGCUUCAUUUGCAUAUACAGAGGUGUAAUUAAAACCGAGUGUAACAGACUGAGCCUUUGGUUCUCGAAUGAACGUCAACGCGUAAUGAUGAGACACGCGUACACGUCAAUGGUGGAAGUUUGAUUGCCAGAUGAAAGGGACCAAUCAUCAUUGAGCUUAGUUGAGUCAGUCCGGGAGCGGAACACCGCUGAACAGUUCAAGGGGAGUCAUUUGUAGUUGAUCAUUAAAGUAUUUUGACUUAGUUGUUGCACUAUAUUUUGCACUAUAACUGAAAAGUGUGUAUUUGGAAAACUUGGUAUGGAAGAUAGUGAGACUCGUGCACCACAUACACCUAUAGACAAUUUUGGUCUCUGUGGUUUAUGUUUGCUGAAUAAUAUUCACAAUGUUACUUGUACCACAUGCAACAACUUAAUCAAAAGUCAAAUAAAUUGUACUUGCAAGGAUACACUACCGCUUGUUUUUCAUUUAGGAUCAUCAUCCCAGUGUUUUCAAUGAGGACAUACAACAAUUGUGAAUCAAAUUAGCUUUUAUUAAAGUAUUAGUGGUUAGGGAAUGAGUCAUUACAUGGUACAGAUUUCAUAUGCAUUAUUUAACCAACAUGAAAAAGAGAUGGGGGGGGGGGGGGGG
This is a long non-coding RNA of Oncorhynchus mykiss (rainbow trout), 3093 nucleotides long. RefSeq lists it as uncharacterized. The record is from RefSeq and is a predicted model, not a curated record. Lineage: Eukaryota; Metazoa; Chordata; Actinopteri; Salmoniformes; Salmonidae.